GACGAGUUUCAGCGAUGAGACAAGAUCGUAAUCACGAAAUUGGAGAGAAAAAGGGGCCCUGGCCUAAAACCAACCCCAGACUUCCACUGGCCUUGCGUUGGGAUCAUCACAUUUUAGCAGGUGUGGGAUUUGAGAAGGAGAGAUCAUUUGGUGGUGUGUACAUGGACUGUGAAGGCCACCAGGGAGAGUUGGCAAGGCAUAACUUACCCCAGCCAACAAGCAUGCUGAGGCAGAUACAUAGCAUUCCCCAAUGAUGACCCAAUGCUGCCAGCAAAAGCCCUCCACCUCAGCUGCUGUAGCCGUGUCCCAGGGAGGUUGUAAAGAUGGAGAAGAGGCUUCUGAGUAGGCCUAUAUACAGCAGGGAUUGUUUGUACCUCUACCUUGGUCUUUCUGCUUCAGUGGAAACAAAAGACUGUUGACAUCAGUAAGUGAAACUGGGGCUUGUUGAGAAUUGUGGGACAUUCAUACUCCGUGAACCUGUUUCGGUAAGUCAAUCCUUCAUGGCCUGUUUAGUAUCCGUUCCCCUCUAUUUGAAAAAGUGAUUUCCAAUAAACUGUGAUCAGCUUUGUGCAGAGCCCAUUCUAUUAUAAUAGUGAAGAUACAAAUGUUGUGCCGAAUAGAAGAUUUGAGGGUUGGUGUUCCUACAGUGGCCUUUCAGAUGUUCAAGCAUAUAAUAUCCAGACAGAAAAACAACAACAUUAAAAGAAUGAUGAAACAAUCGGUAACAUGGGAAAUAGGACAGAAAAUAAGUGAUUAUGAUAAUAAACUCAUGAUGUAAUUUGAAUUGAUGCAUAAAUUAGUUCUAAAUGCACCUCAUGUCUCUCAAUUGUCUGAAUGAUGUGGAUAACAUAACAUUGUCACCACACUGACAAAACACAAGCUGUUGUUGAGUGUCUAGGGCAGUUGAUGACACCAUCAUAUAGAGACAGAUUUGUCAUAUGUCAUGGUUAACAUUGACACAAUUCUAAAUCUAAGAUUACUACAGUCCCUUGCACAAACACGGUCUCAAUUUGCGUGUAUGUCUUCCACCCAGCAAUGUGAAGACACAAGGUAAUUACAGACACCACUGGACACUCAGCUGCUCCCAAAGCCAUGAAAGAGUCAGGACUCAGAAUGGCCUAGAAGAUGGUUAGGAGAAGACAUGGAGAGAUAUGGUUAGAAGGAGAGAUGUGGAGUAACACAGGACAGAGGGCAUUGGGAGGUUGAUGCUGGAUAGCGGUUAAGAGAGAAUAGGCAUACAAACACACUAGUGUUAAGCAGUGUUGGUGGAGUAAUGAACUACAUGUAAUUCAACUAGUAAUUCAACUACAGUGUAGUUAAUUCGUUUUUUGCCAUGUAGUGGUGUAGCUAACUACUGAAACUACACACUACUCUUUUUGCAAAAAGAGAAGAAAAAAUGGGUGAAAUAGGCAAGAAUUACCAUUAUUUUCCAGGCAACGUGGAAACAUGUUUUUUGUGUUUUUAUUAUUAUAGUUUUAUUUUUUAUUUUUUGUGUUUAAUAGGCUAAAUUGCACACUCGGUUAACAUCUGACCCAAGAGUGAUCUGUUCUUGCAAUUUGCAAAAAAACUAUAUUUUUCUUAAGGGUAGCAUUAAUGUAGGUAACUUCUUCUAGUGUGAAAUAAUUGGUAGUUUGGUAAAUUAUGAUUUCAGAGUAGCUUCCCCAACACUCGUUUUAAGCAUUUUGUAGACCUAUUAGUUAUGGUCUCAAAGACUCUCUGUCCAAAAUGCAGCUUAGCGUUUUUCAUAAUUAACCUUGUUCUGGAGGCAGCUCUGCAGAGUGGUCACUAGCUGGCACAGCCACAAAGUAAUCAAAUUGGAUUUGAAGCCUAACCAUAACACUAAACUUAAUCAUACGGCUAACCUUAAUGCCUAACCAUCACCUUAAAGUAUGACCAGAAAGCAAAUUUUUUGUUUCAAGGAAUUUUUACUAGCGGAAGUCGCUCAGUUCUGCCUCCAGGGCAAUAUUCCUGACAAUAAUCGUCAACCUGUGUCCAAAGCAGGGAUCUUCUAAGUUUGUGUGCUCGCGUGUGAAUAAUCACAGACAGUCUCCCAAGACAGGGGGGGGGAGUCUCCCAAGACCACAGAUGUGGUGAUCUCAUUUGAGAAGAAUGUAGACCUACUCCUUCCUAUUACUACAGUGGAGUUGAUGAAGACUUACAAACGAUUAAUAGAUGCAGGUCAUGCAGCUGAAUAUUACAAAAAUACAGCUAUCUAAUGAUUGGAAAUAAUGUGUACAUUUUCACCCCAUAAUAUCCCAUGCUGAAGUACUGCAGCAGCACUGCUGUUUAACAGAUAUGCAGACCUGAGUUUUACAGACUAUUGUGGCUUUGACUGGAGGUUGGCUGGUCUGUGUGUACUUCAAACUUAGACGAGAGCAAUGGCCCUGAGAAUCCACUGAUUUGCGCUCACCACUGUUGCACGGAUCAACACUCAUUCAGUUUAAACUGUAUAUGUGGGUCUCUUCUUCGGCACCAGUGGUGUAGUGCUAUUUUUUUAGGUAAGGGAGUGCACCAACAAAAAAGUUAACUAAGUCAUCAGUUCAUCAAUCAAAGUUUGUACCGACAAAUGUAGACUAUUGAAUAGCCUAUCCAAUUGCAAAGUCUGCCUAUGCCCACACACUUUGUCUCAAGAAAAUGUUAUAUUUUAAUACCCUGAAACACCACAUUAGACAUACCUAAUAUCAAAUAGGCCAUCACUACUAUCAAUCGUGAAUGAUAAUUAUUUAUGUUUUAUCGGUUAAAUGUAAUUUGGUUGAUCUCAAUCAGUUG
Oncorhynchus tshawytscha (Chinook salmon) is the source of this 2769-nucleotide long non-coding RNA. RefSeq lists it as uncharacterized. The transcript has 4 exons. The record is from RefSeq and is a predicted model, not a curated record. Lineage: Eukaryota; Metazoa; Chordata; Actinopteri; Salmoniformes; Salmonidae.